This 23-nucleotide non-coding RNA is filed under the name Arabidopsis thaliana (thale cress). The record is from RNAcentral. Lineage: Eukaryota; Viridiplantae; Streptophyta; Magnoliopsida; Brassicales; Brassicaceae.
UGAGAAGUCAAGUGAUGCUGCUA